GGGCUGCUGACAGAAUGUGGCUGAGGGGGCACGUCCAGGCCCGCCCACAUGAGGCCCAGACUGCUGAGUGGAGGGCCGAGGCCGAGCUGAGCCGAGAAGCAGCCGUGGUGAAAAGCUGUGCGCGCAUCUUCAGCUCCUAGAUCUGGCCCCAGCUGCUCCUCUCCGGCCUGCCAUCACUGCCGUGCCAGGCUCCAGCGUGGGAGUUGUCACCGCACCGGAACCUCCAGUGACUCCCUGCUUGUACCCGCACGGAACAAACUGGGAUUCCAGGCGCCUGGGAGCGUCUGCCACGCCGCCCUUCCUUCCCGUCCACCCUCCCAGGCCUUGGCUAAAUAGGCCCCCUCAUUUCCAGCCUCACUGUCCCUCUGUGGCCUGGUCAGCUGUUGCCCUUCCUCCAAGACUGUUCAGCUGUCUCCGCCUAGUUACUGUCCCAAGUGUAGCUGAAAGAAUAAAGUAAGGAACGGUCACCCAA
Physeter macrocephalus (sperm whale) is the source of this 472-nucleotide long non-coding RNA. RefSeq lists it as uncharacterized. The transcript has 3 exons. Lineage: Eukaryota; Metazoa; Chordata; Mammalia; Artiodactyla; Physeteridae. The record is from RefSeq and is a predicted model, not a curated record.